Ribosomal RNA from Scophthalmus maximus (turbot), 121 nucleotides. The record is from Ensembl. NCBI's taxonomy places the organism in Eukaryota, Metazoa, Chordata, Actinopteri, Pleuronectiformes, Scophthalmidae.
GCUUGCGGCCACACCGCCUGGUUCACGCCCCCGAUCUCGCUUGAUCUCGGAAGCUAAGAUAGGGUGGGCCUGGUUAGUACUUGGAUGGGAGACCGCCUGGGAAUACCAGGUGUUGUAAUUU